This is a non-coding RNA of Ornithorhynchus anatinus (platypus), 770 nucleotides long. Lineage: Eukaryota; Metazoa; Chordata; Mammalia; Monotremata; Ornithorhynchidae. The record is from the annotation of a RefSeq genome assembly.
AGAGGGCAGGGACUCAAUCCCAGGAGGUGGCCGCUGUGCCUUUAUAGAGAGGAGGAGAUGCAAAUUAGACUCCUCCAGUCCUAAUUAAAACCUGCAAGGUCCCUGUCCCUGUAGCUCUGGGAAAGGAACCCCAGAUCCUCUCUCUCUGCUGCUCCCUUCCUGCCCCCAGAACUGUCCUCAUAGCCCUCACCAUGCAGUUUGCCUUCAGUCUGCUUUCUAUCCUGGCCCUGCUCCAAGGUGUGCAGGGUGAUGUCCAGCUGGUGGAGUCUGGGGGAGACUUGAGACAGCCUGGCGGGUCUCUGAGCCUCUCCUGUAAAGCCUCUGGAUUGACUAACAGCUACUACUACAUGCACUGGGUCCGCCAGGCUCCAGGGAAGGGGCUCGAGUGGGUCGCUCAAGUUCAUAAGGAUGGUGGUAGCACCAAAUAUGCAGACUCUGUGAAAGGCCGAUUCACCAUCUCCUGGGAUAAGUCCAGCAGCCUCCUGAGUUUGCAGAUGAACAGCCUGAAAACCGAGGACACGGCCCUGUAUUACUGUGCUGCAGACAUAAUGAGAGAAAUUACAUUCUCUGCCUGUCAGAAACCCUGGGAGGAUUUCUGGGCUGCAGCUGGCUGGGGGAACAGAGCAGUAGAGACCACAGACAAUAGCCCUGGCUCCUAAGACUAAUCAUUAAUUCUAUUAUUAAUGCUGUUCACAAUUCCAAAACAAGCCCUAGCCCAAAAUCCCACUGGUAUGUAAAAUUAAAUGGGAACCAGAGCCCGAUUUUUUCUA